UUGAGAAGUUAAAUUGGUGUUGCUACCCUACACACCUCUAACAUUGAGGACGUACGGUUGGUUGGUGGGUUUAGGGUUUUUGCCAGCCAUUGCCAAACAAAACUUUGAAGUCAAAUAAAUCUCCUCCACAUCUGAUCAUGUCACAUGAUUACCACAUUGAUUGGCUCGUGUUCCCAGCCAGAUUUUGGCAUCGUUAUACGGAAGAAUUCGGUGUUAUCUACGUAUUGGAUGCCGAAUAUUAGUAAUAUUCUGAUAUUAGAACUCAACAGAAUAAAUCAUAAAUUCUAGCCAAUUAUAUUCUAAUGUAUCGCUUGAUACCUUCAAUUAGGUCUAGAGGAUGCAUAUGGAUGAAUAUUAUAUUCCAAUUUUGAACUCAUAUUGUUUUUUUUUCAAGUCAUUCUCCUAGUGUUUUGAAAUCUUCAUUAAGGAUAAAACUUAUCAUAUGCAUGAUUUCAUUUUUCAAAUGAAGAAUUUUAUGUUGGGUGUUGGAUAUAUCUUUGUGUGGAGGGGAAUGUAGCUAGAUGUAGAAAGAGUCAACGUUUGGGUACAUUCUGUGGAGAGAGGUCUCUCAACUUACUCCUAUAUAUAUACACAUUACUCUCCAUUUCUCUUUGUCACUUCAUACACUCCCUAUUGUUUAUAUAUACUUAACACAUAUAUAUAUUCAAACAUUAAUUAGUACAUAUUAUACAUACAUACUUUAUGAUGUUGCAUAUAUCACACAUACGUUUGAGAGUGAUGCUGGUUGUUGACAGAAGAUAGAGAGCACUAAGGAUGACAUGCAAGCACAUACAUAUAUCAUCACACCCCAUGUGGAUGAUAAAAUAUGUAUAACAAAUUCAAGAAAGAGAGAGAGAGAGAGAUCAGAUGUAGAGGGAGAGGGAGAGAAAGAGACUGCAUCUCUACUCUUUUGUGCUCUCUAUACUUCUGUCACCACCUUUAUUUCUUCUUCUCUCUCACCUACAUAUACGCACAGUCACAUCUAUGCAUAAUACUAACAUGGGUGCAUAUAUAUCACAUAUUAGGUGAUUUAAGUUUAGUUAACAUUACUUUCUUGUCAAUGCUUCAAGGCAGGUGUUUCAAGAAGCUUCAAUGACAUGAACAAACAAAAAUCGCGAUGACGCUGUCAAGCAUGAUUAUCUUAAUCAGAUCUUCUAAGCAAAGUUCAACAAUAAGUCACCAUCCACUGAGAUACAACAUUUGCGCAAAGAUUCGGCAACAAAAAAAAAAAAAAAAAAGUUCAACAAUAAUUCUGGGAUAUGUAAAUUUUGCAUUAGCUUAGCUAGUCAUGCACACACAUAACAAUAUCAAAAUCGAUCUUUGGAUUCGACCUACAUAACAAAAAACAAUUUGUCGAUUUGGUAUACUAUUAUAGAGGCAAGGAGAUUGGAUGGAUGAAAAUAGAGUAAAAGUUCUAAAA
Arabidopsis lyrata subsp. lyrata is the source of this 1420-nucleotide long non-coding RNA. RefSeq lists it as uncharacterized. Lineage: Eukaryota; Viridiplantae; Streptophyta; Magnoliopsida; Brassicales; Brassicaceae. The transcript has 2 exons. The record is from RefSeq and is a predicted model, not a curated record.